CGAUGAAGGACGUGCUAAUCUGCGAAAAGCGUCGGUAAGGUGAUAUGAACCGUUACAGCCGGCGAUGUCCGAAUGGGGAAACCCAGUGUGAUUCGUCACACUAUCGUUAACUGAAUACAUAGGUUAACGAGGCGAACCGGGGGAACUGAAACAUCUAAGUACCCCGAGGAAAAGAAAUCAACCGAGAUUCCCCCAGUAGCGGCGAGCGAACGGGGAGCAGCCCAGAGUCUGAAUCAGCUUGUGUGUUAGUGGAACGGUCUGGAAAGUCCGACGGUACAGGGUGAUAGUCCCGUACACCAAAAUGCACAGGCUGUGAACUCGAAGAGUAGGGCGGGACACGUGGUAUCCUGUCUGAAUAUGGGGGGACCAUCCUCCAAGGCUAAAUACUCCUGACUGACCGAUAGUGAACCAGUACCGUGAGGGAAAGGCGAAAAGAACCCCGGCGAGGGGAGUGAAAAAGAACCUGAAACCGUGUACGUACAAGCAGUGGGAGCACCUUCGGGUGUGACUGCGUACCUUUUGUAUAAUGGGUCAGCGACUUAUAUUCUGUAGCAAGGUUAACCGUAUAGGGGAGCCGCAGGGAAACCGAGUCUUAACUGGGCGUUAAGUUGCAGGGUAUAGACCCGAAACCCGGUGAUCUAGCCAUGGGCAGGUUGAAGGUUGGGUAACACUAACUGGAGGACCGAACCGACUAAUGUUGAAAAAUUAGCGGAUGACUUGUGGCUGGGGGUGAAAGGCCAAUCAAACCGGGAGAUAGCUGGUUCUCCCCGAAAGCU
Molecule: ribosomal RNA, 776 nt
Filed under: Klebsiella pneumoniae
Lineage: Bacteria; Pseudomonadati; Pseudomonadota; Gammaproteobacteria; Enterobacterales; Enterobacteriaceae
Description: partial 23S ribosomal RNA
Rfam family: Bacterial large subunit ribosomal RNA
Source: RNAcentral